CCUCCGGGGGGCUGCAGUGAGGAAUCUUGGUCAAUGGGCGCGAGCCUGAACCAGCCAAGUAGCGUGAAGGAUGCCUGCCCUACGGGUUGUAAACUUCUUUUAUAAAGGAAUAAAGUGAGGCACGUGUGCCUUUUUGUAUGUACUUUAUGAAUAAGGAUCGGCUAACUCCGUGCCAGCAGCCGCGGUAAUACGGAGGAUCCGAGCGUUAUCCGGAUUUAUUGGGUUUAAAGGGAGCGUAGAUGGUUUGUUAAGUCAGUUGUGAAAGGUUGCGGCUCAACCGUGAAAUUGCAAUUGAUAAUGGCAUUUUUGAGUAGAGUUGAGGUAGGCGGAAUUCGGGGUGUAGCGUGGAAAUGCUUAGAUAUGACGAAGAACUCCGAUUGCGAAGGCAGAUUACUAAACUGCCACUGACAUUGAUGCUCGAAAGUGUGGGUAUCAAACAGGAUUAGAUACCCUAGAGUC
Molecule: ribosomal RNA, 459 nt
Filed under: uncultured bacterium
Lineage: Bacteria
Description: partial 16S ribosomal RNA
Rfam family: Bacterial small subunit ribosomal RNA
Source: RNAcentral